GCCGAAGUGGCGAAAUUGGUAUACGCGCUGGUUUUAGGAACCAGUGCCGCAAGGCGUGGAGGUUCGAGUCCUCUCUUCGGCA
This 82-nucleotide transfer RNA is filed under the name Nitrospinota bacterium. RNAcentral describes it as "tRNA-Leu". It matches the Rfam family "tRNA". Rfam says of the family: Transfer RNA (tRNA) molecules are approximately 80 nucleotides in length. The record is from RNAcentral. Lineage: Bacteria; Pseudomonadati; Nitrospinota. RNAcentral also lists the same sequence under 1 other name.